Molecule: long non-coding RNA, 367 nt
Filed under: Nicotiana benthamiana
Lineage: Eukaryota; Viridiplantae; Streptophyta; Magnoliopsida; Solanales; Solanaceae
Description: long non-coding RNA (NBEN_LNC025335)
Source: RNAcentral
UUCCAGAGUCACAGCUUCAUAUUACAUUCGUAUGAGAUCCACAGGGCCAAAAUAUACCUGGAAAAUGGAAAGAAAGUGAGGAUGGUGGUUCAGCAAAUAUGCAGCAGAGUAAUAGAAACACAACCAGUCCAAAUAAUCUCAGAUCCCAGACAAUUGAAGAUAAAUGACAAGAUAAUUUUUGACUCGAAGAAAUGAAGUAAAAUGAACCCCAAAAAUGACUUCAAAUCAUCAUGUAACCAAACUCAAAUCAAAUAGUGCCAAAUAGCUCCAAAGUUUUCCAGAAUGGGAAGCUCUUUGGAAGAUCAAUGAUAGAUCCAAUGUAACAGUAAAAUUUGAUCAGCUGUAUGUAUAUAUUUCCUAAAGUUUU